This 253-nucleotide ribosomal RNA is filed under the name uncultured bacterium. RNAcentral describes it as "partial 16S ribosomal RNA". It matches the Rfam family "Bacterial small subunit ribosomal RNA", at positions 524 to 776 of the family's 1533-position model. The record is from RNAcentral.
UACGAAGGUCCCGAGCGUUGUUCGGAAUCACUGGGCGUAAAGGGCGCGUAGGCGGCGUGGUAAGUCAGAUGUGAAAUCCCGGGGCUCAACCCCGGAACUGCACCCGAUACUGCCGUGCUCGAGGGUUGGAGAGGUAGCUGGAAUUAUCGGUGUAGCAGUGAAAUGCGUGGAUAUCGAUAGGAACACUCGUGGCGAAGGCGAGCUACUGGACAACAUCUGACGCUGAGGCUCGAAGGCCAGGGGAGCAAAAGGG